Solanum tuberosum (potato) is the source of this 3137-nucleotide long non-coding RNA. RefSeq lists it as uncharacterized. Lineage: Eukaryota; Viridiplantae; Streptophyta; Magnoliopsida; Solanales; Solanaceae. The record is from RefSeq and is a predicted model, not a curated record. The transcript has 2 exons.
CUGCAAACUUGAGAUGGUUGAAAAUUCUUGAUCCAGAUUGUUUAUUCUACUAAGUUCGAUUAUGUGUAGAUCUGGUUCAUUCAAUUAAAUCUAGCUUUGUUUUAGUACAAGUUAGUAUAAUUUUGUAUUUCCAACAAUCUUGCAUUAAAGUCGCCUAGAUCUUGAAUUCAGUGUGUAAAUUCUCUUGAAUGUGUUCCAUAACUUUUGCAAGUUCCGUUUAGAUAUUAGCUACUUGUUUAAAUCCCACUUCCUUUGUAUCUGCCAUCCCAAAUUUCCACUUUCUAAUGCAUCUAUAUUUCUACUCCUGCUGCAUUUUAUUUGUUUUUCUUACUCUCCUUCUUACACCUAUUAUCUCAAUUUACGUCUUACUUUUCAUCUCAACUCUUACUUUACAAGUUAAUAUGCUUCAACUUUUGCAACUUUGGUUGGGCUAAGCCGUCUCUAAUCUCCAGUUUUCAGAUAAUACUACAUUUUCCCUCUUAGACCAAGUGCUAUGGUUCCAUUAUAUGCUUCUUGAUGGUGUGGAUUUUGAUUGUUAAUUUUGAACUUACAAUGGUUCUCAUUUGGAAAAGUAAUUGGGGUAGUAUUGAUGUUUCUAAUCACAUUAUUUAUGUUUUUUGAGUCUGUUAACUUGUCUCAGUGUUAGUGAUGGAUCAGUUAGUUUUGAGCACGGUGAAUGAGUACUCGCGUCAAUUAUAUUUUGAACAUGGUAAGUGGUGACUGAGAGUAUUUAGUCACAUUCAAGCAAAUUGAUAUCAUCUCUGCUACUCAUCUUAGUUAGGUGUCUUUUUGGGUGUGGAUAUAGAAGAUUAGUUGUUGUGGGUUUUCCUUAAGAGGAAGGAGGGUGAUUUCCAGGAAGGUUGCCGUGUGAGGAAUUUUUUUUUCGGAAAAUGGUUUUGGGAUCCCUAUUGGAAACUCUGUUUUGCUUAAAAUGAUUGAUAACAAGUGUGGCCUUCAAGAAAAAUGAUUGAUAACAAGUUAGGCCUUCAACAAAUAUGAUUGAAGGGAAAACGAUCUAAUAUUUUAGGACAUUUGGAUUGACUGAAAUGCUUAAUAUAUGAAAGAGCAUCACUUGCCUCAUGUAUGGAAUAGUGUGAAACCUUUUCUCCUUUUUCUUUUAUGAUAAAGCGGAGAGUGAUUUUGUAACACCACGGUCUGAAGCAGAGAUGUCAAGCUUAAAAUCUGCACGCACUAACUAAGCUCUCAGCAUGAUGCUGAUUAUUUGAGUCAUUUGGGAUAGAAAUAGUAAGGCAAGUUUUGACAGUCUUAAUUAAUUUAUUAAUUUGAUCAUCUGAAUUUCAUCUUGUGAGUGAGUGGUGUGAUUAAACAAAGCUUUGCUUAAACCUGAGAUAUUGAAGUUAUGAUAUGAAUUAGUUACCCAAGUAAGGUUUAAGCUCAUUCUUGUUCUUGAAUGGAGGUUUAUUCGGACCAUAAAGAGUGGUCAUGCUCAGCCAGGCAUUAUGUUACGAGGAUAGAGUUUGGCUUCUGUAAUAGGUCUUGGACGAAAUUGAAGCCACCUCAUGUAAGUUUCAAAAUUCGACAAGCAUAUUUUUACUAGUUCGAUGAGUAACUUUAUGUAAAAGAAUAGUCAAAAAGGAAAGACGCUAUGAUCCUUAGACUAGUGGCGGAUUGGAUUCAUUAUUUUAUUUGGGCAGAGUCUAGACGUGAUAUUGACUGCUUCAGUAGCUUCUGCCUAGUGGUGAGAGGACUUACUUUGUCUACCCGGUCAAAAUUCUUCUUUCUUGUCAUAAAUUUUGCUAGUAUGAUCUUUUUUCGGUGCCUGCUUCGAGAGCAUUUUUUCUCCUUUGCAGUGAAUGUUUGUCUUUUCCCGUGAUUGUUCGAUAAUACUUCUCUUUUCAUCUCUUUUGAAUAUAUUUUUGGGCCUAUUCCGGCCAUUUUACUUUUAUUAGGGCUCUAUUUUAUGCCACCAUCGAUUUAGCUGACACAUUAUUCUCCAGUAUGAUAACAUGUCAUCCUCCGGUCGGCUGACACAUUAUCAGUCAGCUAGAACGAGUCAGUUGAGAUGCCAUCAUUCAAUUGACAUGUAAUCAUUAUUGUCAAGUGACAUGUCAUCUUCAAUAAGUACCACGUUGCAUAGAGCAAUAGUUUCCUGUCAACACCACGUGCCUGUCCUGCCAUACGUUUCCAUUUCCAGUUAGCGCCACAUUGGCGUCAAGCAACAAAUCUCUUCAGUCAGCAUCUUUCUCGAGCCAAGCCAUUGGGCAAUGCCACAUUGCUGCUCUAGUAACGACUCAUUAAUGACACACCACUAUCCAAAAACUCGUUAUAUUCUUGUCGUCGUCCAGCAGCAUGUAACUUCUCAGUUUGCAUUACGUCAUUGUUCAACAAGUUAUAUUUCAUGUUAGUGCCUUAAUAGAGGCAUGUUAUCCUCGACAUGUCACUUUAGUCAGUGCCACAUCGACAAUGCGUUCCCCACUUUAGUGACCAUUUAGUCACAUCCUUAGGUGCUAUAUAAGAAAUCCCUGUUGUUCAUUGUUAAUAAACCACGUCAGUAAGAAGUUUCCUCCUUUUUCCCCUCUUGUUUCAGACAACACUUCUCAUGCAUGCUUAGUGUUCUUAAAGGCGAGCGCCUUUCACCUUUGGUGACGAGGUGUGGCGAGGCGAGGCCUCUCCGCCUAUUUCCAGCAAGGCGUGGCGAAUUCAAAAAGGCGUGCCAUGGCGACGUGACGUGGUGAUGCAAUAGGCGUCACCUUUUUUUUUUUUCUUUAAAAGUCAGAUUUAAUAAUUAAAAGCCAAAAUUAGGGUUUUUUUUUGGGUAAUUUUGCACACUCACCUCAGAUUAAGCGUCGCGGCUGCUUCUCCUCCUCUUCUCCUCAGAUUUUGCAAGUCACGACCCCUAGAGACUUACGUGACCUUUGCGAAUCACGACGCUGCUGCUCAGGUACGACUUACGCGACUGCUAUUCAGGUAUGACCCCUGGAGACUUACGCGAAUCUCUUCUUCUCUUCUAGUUCUUCCCUUCUUUUCUUCUUCUUCUCUGUUUUUCAGCAGUACGACUAUGCUGCUCUGUUUUUCAGACCCUCUAUUUUUAGUGGUAGACUGGUGGUGAAGUGUGAACUGAGUGCUUUGUUCUUCUGUUAUGUUGAAGUGCUCUGCUGCUUGGCCUAUAUUUUUUU